AGUGAGCGCGAUAAGGGCAUUCGGUGGAUGCCUUGGCACCAGGAGGCGACGAAGGACGUAGCACGCUGCGAAAAGUUGUGGGGAGCCGCGAGCAGGCAUUGAUCCGCAAAUAUCCGAAUGGGGCAACCCACCCAGCGAUGGGUAUCAUCAUCUGAAUACAUAGGGUGAUGAGGCGAACCCGGGGAACUGAAACAUCUCAGUACCUGGAGGAAAAGACAUCAAUUGAGAUUCCGCUAGUAGUGGCGAGCGAACGCGGAUCAGGCCAGUGGUCUUUGGAAGAGAAGCAGAACGAUCUGGAAAGGUCGGCCAUAGUGGGUGAUAGUCCCGUAUGCGUAGUGCUUUUAAAGAUCCUUGAGUAGGGCGGGGCACGUGAAACCCUGUCUGAACAUGGGGGGACCACCCUCCAAGCCUAAAUACUCCCUGGUGACCGAUAGUGAACAAGUACCGUGAGGGAAAGGUGAAAAGCACCCCGACGAGGGGAGUGAAAUAGACCUGAAACCGGAUGCCUACAAGCAGUCGGAGCCUCUUAUGGGGUGACGGCGUACCUUUUGUAUAAUGGGUCAGCGAGUUUCUGUUUGCAGCGAGCUUAAGCCGAUAGGUGUAGGCGUAGCGAAAGCGAGUCUGAAUAGGGCGUCGAGUUGCUGGCAGAAGACCCGAAACCGAGUGAUCUAGCCAUGGCCAGGCUGAAGGUGCGGUAACACGCACUGGAGGGCCGAACCCACGCCUGUUGAAAAAGUCGGGGAUGAGCUGUGGCUAGGGGUGAAAGGCCAAUCAAACUCGGA
RNAcentral lists this ribosomal RNA (782 nucleotides) under Wolbachia endosymbiont of Drosophila subpulchrella. RNAcentral describes it as "bacterial LSU rRNA". It matches the Rfam family "Bacterial large subunit ribosomal RNA", at positions 1 to 843 of the family's 2925-position model. The record is from RNAcentral. Lineage: Bacteria; Pseudomonadati; Pseudomonadota; Alphaproteobacteria; Rickettsiales; Anaplasmataceae.